RNAcentral lists this ribosomal RNA (467 nucleotides) under uncultured bacterium. Its description in RNAcentral is "partial 16S ribosomal RNA". It matches the Rfam family "Bacterial small subunit ribosomal RNA", at positions 29 to 507 of the family's 1533-position model. The record is from RNAcentral.
ACGAACGCUGGCGGCGUGCUUAACACCUGCCAGUCGAACGGAAAGGCCCUGCUUUUGUGGGGUGCUCGAGUGGCGAACGGGUGAGUAACACGUGAGUAACCUGCCCUUGACUUUGGGAUAACUUCAGGAAACUGGGGCUAAUACCGGAUAGGAGCUCCUGCUGCAUGGUGGGGGUUGGAAAGUUUCGGCGGUUGGGGAUGGACUCGCGGCUUAUCAGCUUGUUGGUGGGGUAGUGGCUUACCAAGGCUUUGACGGGUAGCCGGCCUGAGAGGGUGACCGGCCACAUUGGGACUGAGAUACGGCCCAGACUCCUACGGGAGGCAGCAGUGGGGAAUAUUGCACAAUGGGCGGAAGCCUGAUGCAGCAACGCCCCGUGCGGGAUGACGGCCUUCGGGUUGUAAACCGCUUUCGCCUGUGACGAAGCGUGAGUGACGGUAAUGGGUAAAGAAGCACCGGCUAACUACGUG